ACGAACGCUGGCGGCAGGCCUAACCCAUGCCAGUCGAGCGAGGACUUCGGUUCUAGCGGCGGACGGGUGAGUAACGCGUGGGAAUGUGCCCUUCUCUACGGAAUAGCCCUGGGAAACUGGGAGUAAUACCGUAUACGCCCUAUUGGGGAAAGAUUUAUCGGAGAAGGAUCAGCCCGCGUUGGAUUAGGUAGUUGGUGGGGUAAUGGCCUACCAAGCCGACGAUCCAUAGCUGGUUUGAGAGGAUGAUCAGCCACACUGGGACUGAGACACGGCCCAGACUCCUACGGGAGGCAGCAGUGGGGAAUCUUAGACAAUGGGGGCAACCCUGAUCUAGCCAUGCCGCGUGAGUGAUGAAGGCCUUAGGGUUGUAAAGCUCUUUCAGCUGGGAAGAUAAUGACGGUACCAGCAGAAGAAGCCCCGGCUAACUCCGUG
Molecule: ribosomal RNA, 432 nt
Filed under: uncultured bacterium
Lineage: Bacteria
Description: partial 16S ribosomal RNA
Rfam family: Bacterial small subunit ribosomal RNA
Source: RNAcentral